GGAAUAUUGGUCAAUGGGCGAGAGCCUGAACCAGCCAAGUAGCGUGCAGGAUGACGGCCCUAUGGGUUGUAAGCUGCUUUUAUACAGGGAUAAAGUGGGGAACGUGUUCCCUUUUGUAGGUACUGUAUGAAUAAGGACCGGCUAAUUCCGUGCCAGCAGCCGCGGUAAUACGGAAGGUCCGGGCGUUAUCCGGAUUUAUUGGGUUUAAAGGGAGCGCAGGCUGAUUGUUAAGCGUGACGUGAAAUGUAGCCGCUCAACGGCUGAACUGCGGCGCGAACUGGCAGUCGUGAGUGAGUACGACGUCAGCGGAAUUCGUGGUGUAGCGGUGAAAUGCUUAGAUAUCACGAAGAACCCCGAUUGCGAAGGCAGCUGACGAGUCCUUUACUGACGCUAAAGCUCGAAGGUGCGGGUAUCGAACA
Molecule: ribosomal RNA, 419 nt
Filed under: uncultured Prevotella sp.
Lineage: Bacteria; Pseudomonadati; Bacteroidota; Bacteroidia; Bacteroidales; Prevotellaceae
Description: bacterial SSU rRNA
Rfam family: Bacterial small subunit ribosomal RNA
Source: RNAcentral